GCAUAUUUAAUGAUGUAUGCUCAAGCCAGAGGAACAUUUUAUGUACAGGUGAACUGUUCAAAUAAAUAUUUCAUAAUUUUAUCAUUAUUAUUAUAUAAUAGAAAACCCAUAUCUAUAGGGGAUAGGUUCCAAGCCUCUCCACAGAUAUCUAAAACUGCAGAUAGUAGCCAACACAAUAUAAUAAAUGCUCUACAUACCUAUGAUAAAAUUUAAUUUAUAUAGGCAUAAUAAAACAUGAACAAUAAUAACUAAUAAUUUGGGUAUUGGGUAUAAAAACUAAUAAUUUGGGUAAAUAUUGGGUAUUGUAAGAUAGAGUUCUUUCCUUUCUAUAAGUGUUUAUUAAACACUUAUUUUUAUUUUGUUAUGAAUAUU
This 372-nucleotide long non-coding RNA is filed under the name Androctonus crassicauda. The record is from RNAcentral. Lineage: Eukaryota; Metazoa; Arthropoda; Arachnida; Scorpiones; Buthidae.